RNAcentral lists this ribosomal RNA (255 nucleotides) under uncultured bacterium. Its description in RNAcentral is "partial 16S ribosomal RNA". It matches the Rfam family "Bacterial small subunit ribosomal RNA", at positions 524 to 776 of the family's 1533-position model. The record is from RNAcentral.
UACGUAGGGUGCGAGCGUUGUCCGGAAUUAUUGGGCGUAAAGAGCUUGUAGGCGGUUUGUCGCGUCUGCUGUGAAAAUCCGGGGCUCAACCCCGGACUUGCAGUGGGUACGGGCAGACUAGAGUGUGGUAGGGGGAGACGUGGAAUUCCUGGUGUAGCGGUGAAAUGCGCAGAUAUCAGGAGGAACACCGAUGGCGAAGGCAGGUCUCUGGGCCACUACUAACGCUGAGAAGCGAAAGCAUGGGGAGCGAACAGG